Molecule: ribosomal RNA, 252 nt
Filed under: uncultured bacterium
Lineage: Bacteria
Description: partial 16S ribosomal RNA
Rfam family: Bacterial small subunit ribosomal RNA
Source: RNAcentral
UACGUAGGGGGCAAGCGUUGUCCGGAAUUAUUGGGCGUAAAGAGUACGUAGGCGGUCUGUUAAGCGCAAAGUGAAAGGCAUAGGCUCAACCAAUGUGAGCCUUGCGAACUGGCAGACUUGAGUGCAGGAGAGGAAAGCGGAAUUCCUAGUGUAGCGGUGAAAUGCGUAGAUAUUAGGAGGAACACCGGUGGCGAAGGCGGCUUUCUGGACUGAAACUGACGCUGAGGUACGAAAGCGUGGGGAGCAAACAGG